This 127-nucleotide ribosomal RNA is filed under the name Ceratobasidiaceae sp. RNAcentral's name for it is "partial large subunit ribosomal RNA". It matches the Rfam family "Eukaryotic large subunit ribosomal RNA", at positions 99 to 224 of the family's 3401-position model. Lineage: Eukaryota; Fungi; Basidiomycota; Agaricomycetes; Cantharellales; Ceratobasidiaceae. The record is from RNAcentral.
CGGGAAGAGCUCAAAUUUAAAAUCUGGCGGUGUAUUCCGUCCGAGUUGUAGUCUAGAGAAGCAUCAUCCGUGCUGGACCAUGUACAAGUCUCUUGGAACAGAGCGUCAUAGAGGGUGAGAAUCCCGU